UAGAAAGAGAAAGAACAGAAGUCCCACAUACCUGUUUCAUAGCGGUCUCUCCUAUCUUGUCGCUGUGUUUCCGAAUAGACUCCAGGAAGUCUUUGAGUUGAGACAUGGCCGUGUCUCUGAUGAGGGUCCUCAGUCUGGGGAUAUUGUCAGACAUGAUGGAACAGAACCUGUACUGGCCCGCUCUGGGGAGACACGUCUGUUCCAGCUGCUCCAAGGUCCGCAACACUAGGGAGUACUUUAAGGAACAGAAGGGUCAAUACACACACCAACUGAAACUACUCCAACAGCCUAAAAACCUAAAGAGGGACGUCCCGACAGUGAAGAAAACGGAUUCAAAAACACCAUCCCCGCCGUGACGUCGCUUGGGCCCCGCCGUGACGUCGCUUGGGCCCCGCCGCGACGUCGCUGGGGCCCCGCCGCGACGUCGCUGGGGCCCCGCCGCGACGUCGCUGGGGCCCCGCCGCGACGUCGCUGGGAAGCACGCCGCGACGUCGCUGGGAAGCACGCCGCGACGUCGCUGGGAAGCACGCCGCGACGUCGCUGGGAAGCACGCCGCGACGUCGCUGGGAAGCACGCCGCGACGUCGCUGGGAAGCACGCCGUGACGUCGCUUGGGCCCCGCCGUGACGUCGCUUGGGCCCCGCCUAUGAAGUAGCUUGGGCCCCGCCUAUGAAGUAGCUUGGGCCCCGCCUAUGAAGUAGCUUGGGCCCCGCCUAUGAAGUAGCUUGGGCCCCCGCCUAUGAAGUAGCUUGGGCCCCGUCUAUGAAGUAGCUUGGGCCCCGCCGUGAAGUAGCUGGGAAGCACGCCGUGACGUCGCUGGGAAGCACGCCGUGACGUCGCUGGGAAGCACGCCGUGACGUCGCUGGGAAGCACCGCCGUGACGUCGCUGGAAGCACGCCGUGACGUCGCUGGGAAGCACGCCGUGACGUCGCUGGGAAGCACGCCGUGACGUCGCUGGGAAGCACGCCGUGACGUCGCUGGGAAGCACGCCGUGACGUCGCUGGGAAGCACGCCGUGACGUCGCUGGGAAGCACGCCGUGACGUCGCUGGGAAGCACGCCGUGACGUCGCUGGGAAGCACGCCGUGACGUCGCUGGGAGCCCCGCCGUGACGUCGCUGGGGCCCCGCCGUGACGUCGCUGGGGCCCCGCCGUGACGUCGCUGGGGCCCCGCCGUGACGUCGCUGGGGCCCCGCCGUGACGUCGCUGGGGCCCCGCCGUGACGUCGCUG
RNAcentral lists this long non-coding RNA (1227 nucleotides) under Oncorhynchus kisutch (coho salmon). RNAcentral describes it as "lncRNA (ENSOKIG00005007802.1)". The record is from RNAcentral. Lineage: Eukaryota; Metazoa; Chordata; Actinopteri; Salmoniformes; Salmonidae.